CGUAGGUGAACCUGCGGAAGGAUCAUUAACAAAUCCUAGCCGUUGUCGUCUGCGUGCGGCGAUGGUAAAACACCGUGCACUGGCAAUCGGAGACGGGAGAGUCUCCGCUCGGUUUUUAGGAGGUGUGCGGCUGGCAUUGAAUGGGGUGACGCACUUAAAUCGGUGGAAGCCAAUCCACACCGUCCACCGGGCCUCGAACCGAGUUCUCCCGUCUUUGGUUCUUUCUGUUAAACUUUUUGUGACUUUGUUGUAUUCUUGGUAUGUUGUGUUGGUUGUAAAAGUUUUGACAACUUCUGACGGUGGAUCUCUUGGCUCGUGCAUCGAUGAAGAACGCAGCAAGCUGCGAUAUCUAGUGUGAAUUGCAGAAUUCAGUGAAUCAUCGAGUCUUUGAACGCAAAUGGCGCUCCCGGGGUCUCCUCGGGAGCAGGUCUGUCCGAGCGUCUGCCACCUUGAAAGGCCGUCUCCGUGCAGGUGACGGGAUUGAGGAGCUGCACGCUAGCAAGGUUGUAUUGUGUUGUGGUGCACUCCUUGAAGAAGGCAAGUCUGUGUUGUGAAUGUUGGGCCUCGACGGUGUCACCACGAGACAGUCGUCACAACAUUGUGGCAAGUUGUGUCGCUGCUUCUUGUGGGGCACGCCGUUGGUCCACUUUGGCCAACCAGUGUCAGGAAACG
Molecule: unclassified non-coding RNA, 672 nt
Filed under: Coscinoderma mathewsi
Lineage: Eukaryota; Metazoa; Porifera; Demospongiae; Dictyoceratida; Spongiidae
Description: sequence contains ITS1, 5.8S rRNA gene, ITS2
Rfam family: 5.8S ribosomal RNA (bases 289-443)
Source: RNAcentral